CAAACAGUAAUCUCCGUCUCUCGCUGCGGUUUACACUGUUUUAGGAGCACAGAAAGAAACACUACAGAACAGAAGUGAAUCUCCAAGAUUUAACAUUUCUGAAGGGAGAUUCUGACUUAGAAAUACAGCUUGUUUUGUUCCUGGACUCUUCAGUGAUGACGAUCAGAGUCUGAGUGAACCUCCUGUCAGACAGGUUGGCCUGACUGACGAUGCCAUCGUCCAUCGGCGAUGGCUGAUAGACAUCACGAUGCUGCGCCGGCAAACAGCGUCAUCAGCUCCAGUAUCUCGCGCGUGCAUCUGUUGUCAUGCGACAGAGAAGUCACGUUCUAUAGACAGUUGUGAACGUGCUGACAGCUGGUUGCCCAGGCUAUGGAUUAAAGGUAAUACUGUUGGCCAGCAGAGCCCUGCUCACCCUGUCGGCCCACCGCUGCUGUCAGACAACAUCUCCAAGAUGCUAUAAACUGCAGGACUAGAUCGCCAUCCCAAGGUUUCUAGAGAUUACACCAGCUCCAGACUGAAUCCAGACUCACUUGUGAAGACUUCAGAUUACACCAACGCUCACAAAGACUACAACUGUACAUGAACACAUAAUACAUUUGACACACAAAACAAAUAUUAUCCUUAUUUUGCCUAUAAGGGUAAAUUUUAUGAUUUUCAACCUGCUUAAUUUUAACGUCUCUUAUAUCUGUAAAUGAACAAUAUUUACUCUCUGAGUUAUGUGGACCUACAUGUCCCCUUUUAUUUGUAAGCAUCACUCUGCAGGAUGAUCCAAAAUGAAAUGACGAGUUUUGACGAAAUGACACAAUGCAGCAUCUAAAUGAAAACAUGCUGUUUUGCAUCAGUUUUGCUGGCAAAUAAACGGUAUCUUGGAGAAAAAAUAAACAUUGUUCUUUUACAAAUGUUACCAACAAUAUAACAAUACAAAAUGGAUUGAAUUUUUUUUUA
Long non-coding RNA from Carassius auratus (goldfish), 945 nucleotides. RefSeq lists it as uncharacterized. The transcript has 6 exons. The record is from RefSeq and is a predicted model, not a curated record. NCBI's taxonomy places the organism in Eukaryota, Metazoa, Chordata, Actinopteri, Cypriniformes, Cyprinidae.